UGGAAACUGAUGUGCAAUAUAAGCAAUUUUGUAAUAGUCUGGUCAGUACCUUUUUUUUUACAUAUUUAUGAUGUGUCUCUUUGUCCUUGGAAUACAUCAAGAUAUCUAGAUAUGCUAUAACACAGUCUCUUAAUACAUCAUUAAUCAAAUCUUGGAAGACAGCCAAGAGACAUCACAGUGUACGUAGUGUCUGUAUCGGAUGUUAAAG
This is a non-coding RNA of Pelobates cultripes (western spadefoot toad), 208 nucleotides long. The record is from the annotation of a GenBank genome assembly. NCBI's taxonomy places the organism in Eukaryota, Metazoa, Chordata, Amphibia, Anura, Pelobatidae.